Seriola aureovittata is the source of this 1137-nucleotide long non-coding RNA. RefSeq lists it as uncharacterized. The record is from RefSeq and is a predicted model, not a curated record. The transcript is spliced from 4 exons. Lineage: Eukaryota; Metazoa; Chordata; Actinopteri; Carangiformes; Carangidae.
AUCAGCACCAUGAUGAUGAUGUCGAACGCCUGUUUCCCGACCAGGUCGAAGAAGAAGCCCUGCACCGUGUUCUGCACAGGAAGACAGUUGUCGAUGAUGACGCCGAUGAAGAGGUUGAGGGUGAAGAAGGAGCCGAAAAUGAUGAAGAUGACAAAGUAGAGCGUGGAGCUAUUUCCAGAUGCUAAUGGAAGGGUUGCCCCCGCCAACCGUUGCCGCGCCGACCAGCCAAACACGGAGAGAUGCUGAGCGACUCGUUGCCAAGGCGACCGGUGUCUGACAACUCUUAAGUUCUCAGCAGCUGAAGUAGCAGAACGACAACUUCUUUCCCUUUUUUUUUCCUCUCUCUCCGUCUCUUUACAUCAACAAACCUGAGGCUGAACUCCAUCCCUCUUUCUCCUUUCCUUCACAGUACAUCCUGUCUUCUUCAUCUCUUCCCUUUCUUCCUUUUGUCUCUCCAUCUCCUCACCUCUCCUCCGUCCCUCUUCUGUCCCUUCAAAUCCAUCCCUCCAUCUCUCUCCUUUCACUGCUGUAUCUUUCUUUCCAUUCGAACCUUAAUUUUCUUACACCAUUUGUACUUUUUCUCCCCCCCCCUCUCUCUCCCUCCAUCUCUCCAUUUCCCUCCCACUUGGCUGGAGUCGCUCUAAAAAUAAAAGCCUCUCAGACGCUGAUUGAUUGGAGGCUCUCAGGACUCCCGUGGUGGGCGACAGAGAGCGAGAAAGAAAAGAGAGAGCGAAGUAGAGACCGAGAGAGAAAAGAGGGAGGAUGGCAACGAUGGAUUGUUCUGCUCGUUUCACACAGUUACACCGAGAUCUGCCGAAGCUGCCGUCUCCCAGGUUUGAUGGACAGGAGGACGAAGACGUGGUGGUGCGAGAGUCGGUAUUAAAAAGCAGCACUGAGGCUUAGAGAGACCGAGGAGUUUGGGUCAUUUGUGAUAUUUUUGUUCAUAUUGGAUCCUAAAAGUCUUAUUUUAUUAAAUCAGACAAUGACAGAGGACAGACUGACACAGGUCAAAAUUAUGUUUGAUUAUGUAAAAUACUGUAAAUACUAUUUUAAGAAAACAAGACUUUCAGGACUCGAUGGUCAAAAUGUGUCGGGAUGAUUGUUAAACUUUUCCUUUAACACGCCGGAUUAAAUAUG